CCAAAUCCUUCAGUACAUGAAAGAAAAUCAUCUUGUCCUCCGGUACCCCAUAUUUCUAUUAGCUCUUGAAACUUUGAAAGCUGCUGGUGAGAGAGAUGCCCUCCUCAGGCAAGUUCAUCCUCAUAUCUCUGUUGAAUGCAUUGACAAUGAAAGAGUAGUUGAGUAUAAAAGAAAUGAUUUUGAAGAUCCUUCAAGUUUAGACAGAGGACUAGUGUGGGUUCUUUUGAAAAAGCUAAAUCUUCAAGCUGUUGACAGUUUACUUACUGAAUUGAUGGAUAAGAAUAUAAAGUUGGACUCUGAGCUGAUGUCCUCCAUCGUACAUGUAAAUUGUGGUCACUGUAGGGUGGGUGGUGC
This 354-nucleotide long non-coding RNA is filed under the name Gossypium barbadense (sea-island cotton). RNAcentral's name for it is "long non-coding RNA (GBAR_LNC023499)". The record is from RNAcentral. Lineage: Eukaryota; Viridiplantae; Streptophyta; Magnoliopsida; Malvales; Malvaceae.